RNAcentral lists this long non-coding RNA (1719 nucleotides) under Homo sapiens (human). Its description in RNAcentral is "HSALNT0139895". Lineage: Eukaryota; Metazoa; Chordata; Mammalia; Primates; Hominidae. The record is from RNAcentral.
AUCAAAUUAAAAAGUUUUUGUGCAGCAAAGGAAAUAAUCAAUAGAGAAAAAGGCAGCCUAUGGAAUGAGAGAAAAUAUUUGCAGACUAUAUACCUGAUAAAUGGUUAAUAUUCAAAAUAUAUAAGGAACAUCUAUAACUCAGUAGCAAAAAUCAAAAAACCCUUUAAAAAAUGGGCAAGAGAUUUGAAUAGAUAUUUCUCCAAAGACAUCCAAAUGUAGAACAGGUAUAAGAAAAGAUGUUCAGUAUCACUAAUUAUUACACAAACACAAAUCAAAAUCACAAAGAGAUAUUGCCUUACAGGUGUUGGGAUGGCCACAAUCAAACAAACAAGCAAACAAACACAAACCAGAAAACUACAAAUUGCAAUAAAAGCUUCUUAAAACACCAUUUUGGCAUUUUUUUCUGAAAGAGAGAGUGAAGGAAAAUCUACAAACCGCAUUGUGAUCUAAACAAGACCGUCGGGACUAGAGAAGCAUGGCCAGGAGAAGGGACAGGGGAGAAAAUGUGGAAGGAGAGGAAGGAAGGAUAAUCCUGAGACUCUCAAAAGCAAAUAAUUGGAAAAAGUGGAAUAGAGAACUGGCUUGAGUUUACAAAUGAAUAAAUAAAACCCAGAUUUUUGUACUGACUGGUGUCGUGAUACUCUUACCUCUGCAAACCCACAGGCAGUUGCUUCAGACUUUUCCAAACACUAGAAAACCUCUUGAAGAAAUUUCAUAAUGUAACAGAAAGAAGAUUUAUUUUCACAUUUAUCAGUUCUGGAUUUCAAACAUGACAUUUACCAAAAGUCUAAUCUUGGAAUGGUAAACGUUUGAGAUUGAGUUUCUGUAUUAAUAAAGCAAAUAUACUUUUCUGAUAGAGGUUUUGAGAAGUAAAUGAGACAAUGUGUGUGAAAGUAACUAGAAAGUAGCUGACACAGAGCAGAUGUUCAAUAAAUGCUGAUUUUUCCCUUACCCAAUCUUCUGGACAAAGCAAAGAAACCAAGGCACAUUUGGGCCGGGCAUGGUGGCUCACAUCUGUAAUCCCAGCACUUUGGGAGGCCGAGGAAGGCAAAUCACAAGGUCAGGAGUUCGAGACCAGCCUGGCCAACACGGUGAAACCCUAUCUCUACUAAAACUACAAAAAAUUAGCCAGGCUUCAUGGUGGGAGCCUGUAAUCCUGGCUACUCAGGAGGCUGAAGCAGGAUAAUGACUUGAACCCGGGAGGUGUAGGUUGCAGUGAGCCAAGAUUGCUCCACUGUACUCCAGCCUGGGCGACAGUGAGAGGCUCCAUCUCAAAAAAAAAAAAAAGAGGGAAAAAAGAAACCAAGGCACAUUUGAAGCUAAAGGAAUAUCCAUUUAUGUUGUUCAAUGGGUCAGGGUGUAGUGAUCAUGGGGUGAGGAGUAGCCCCUCAUUUUCAGAAGCAGAGAAGGAUACCUUAAGUCUUCCAUCGCGCUUUGCCCUGGGAACCUAAGCAGUUAAUACUAUUUUCUUGAGGGGAGGGGAAUACUUAAGAUUUCAAAUUUAUGAUACCAUGAAUCUAUAUAAUUUUUAAACUAUAAACAUGCAUAGUCUAUUUGCAAGUGGGGUAAAACUUUGUGGAAUAUAAAAUUACCUUUAUAAUAAAAAAAAGCAAUGUAGUUACAAUAACAAUAAUAAAAAUCAGAUUUACAAAAAAUUUGAAAAUUACUUUCUCAAAUAAUUAUUAUGUCUGUAAAUAUUGUUUCCUGAUGUAUUUAAAA